Long non-coding RNA from Capsicum annuum, 585 nucleotides. RefSeq lists it as uncharacterized. The record is from RefSeq and is a predicted model, not a curated record. The transcript is spliced from 3 exons. Lineage: Eukaryota; Viridiplantae; Streptophyta; Magnoliopsida; Solanales; Solanaceae.
UUUCUUCCGUAAUUUACUCCCCUAUAUACUCCCACAUAAAUCCCUUUACUUUUAAUUUUCUCUCUUUUAAUCAUUACACAUGUGAAGCAUCGAUUUUGACAAAAAAAAAUAGUACAAUAUUUUUGAGGCUCAUGUGAUUGGAUAGAUUCUAAUAGAUUCUGCUCUGAAUAUUGGAAGAAGAUAGAAUAAUCUGUGGAUUUUGUGUAUUAGCUUCUUAGUCCUGCUUCAUUUUUUGGUGUGAUUGACUUCUUUCAAGAUGAUGAUAUUUGAGGAAAUGAAGUUCUGUGGCGAUCUUGAUUUCUUCCCUUCUCCGCUAAAGAAAGUGGAAAUGGAAGUGAUUGCCCCACAGAAUCAGAUUGAGCUGGAUUCUGUGGUGGAUGAUAAUUAAAGUGAUGAGGAGAUUGAUGUUGAUGAGCCUAACUUUGAUAUUCUAUGCUAUGUGCUGAUUUGUCGUAACAAAGAUUGCAAGUGGGUGUUGAGGGCGUCUUCUAUGAAUGAAUCGGAAAUUGAUGCUUAUAUGAGAAGUGGGUGUUGAAGGCGUCUUAUCCUUAUUCAUACUCCUUAUACAUAUGUUGUGGGUGUGUA